ACAGUGGACGCGAGCAUCUGUGGCCAAGUUUUUAAGGGCGCACGGUGGAUGCCUUGGCACCAGGAACCGAUGAAGGACGUGGGAGGCCACGAUAGUCCCCGGGGAGUCGUCAACCAGGCUUUGAUCCGGGGGUUUCCGAAUGGGGAAACCCGGCAGUCGUCAUGGGCUGUCACCCGCUGCUGAACUCAUAGGCAGUGUGGAGGGAACGCGGGGAAGUGAAACAUCUCAGUACCCGCAGGAAGAGAAAACAACCGUGAUUCCGGGAGUAGUGGCGAGCGAAACUGGAUGAGGCCAAACCGUAUGUGUGUGAUACCCGGCAGGGGUUGCGCAUGCGGGGUUGUGGGAUCUCUCUUCCACGGUCUGCCGGCCGUGGGACGAGUCAGAAACCGUUGAUGUAGGCGAAGGACAUGCGAAAGGUCCGGCGUAGAGGGUAAGACCCCCGUAGUCGAAACAUCAGCGGCUCGUUUGAGAGACACCCAAGUAGCACGGGGCCCGAGAAAUCCCGUGUGAAUCUGGCGGGACCACCCGCUAAGCCUAAAUAUUCCCUGGUGACCGAUAGCGGAUAGUACCGUGAGGGAAUGGUGAAAAGUACCGCGGGAGCGGAGUGAAAUAGUACCUGAAACCGUGUGCCUACAAGCCGUGGGAGCGUCGCGCAUCGAGCUUGCUCGGUGCGUCGUGACUGCGUGCCUUUUGAAGAAUGAGCCUGCGAGUUAGCGGUGUGUAGCGAGGUUAACCCGUGUGGGGAAGCCGUAGCGAAAGCGAGUCCGAACAGGGCGUUUGAGUUGCACGCUCUAGACCCGAAGCGGAGUGAUCUAGCCAUGGGCAGGUUGAAGCGGCUGUAAGAGGUCGUGGAGGACCGAACCCACCAGGGUUGAAAACCUGGGGGAUGACCUGUGGUUAGGGGUGAAAGGCCAAUCAAACUCCGUGAUAGCUGGUUCUCCCCGAAAUGCAUUUAGGUGCAGCGUCGUGUGUUUCUUGCCGGAGGUAGAGCACUGGAUAGGCGAUGGGCCCUACCGGGUUACUGACCUUAGCCAAACUCCGAAUGCCGGUAAGUGAGAGCGCGGCAGUGAGACUGUGGGGGAUAAGCUCCAUGGUCGAGAGGGAAACAGCCCAGAGCAUCGACUAAGGCCCCUAAGCGUACGCUAAGUGGGAAAGGAUGUGGAGUCGCAGAGACAACCAGGAGGUUGGCUUAGAAGCAGCCACCCUUGAAAGAGUGCGUAAUAGCUCACUGGUCUAGUGAUUCCGCGCCGACAAUGUAGCGGGGCUCAAGCGUACCGCCGAAGUCGUGUCAUUGCAGCAAUACUCCCAACGGAGGCUGUGAUGGGUAGGGGAGCGUCGUGUGCCGGGUGAAGCAGCCGUGGAAGCGAGUUGUGGACGGUUCACGAGUGAGAAUGCAGGCAUGAGUAGCGAUUCACACGUGAGAAACGUGUGCGCCGAUUGACUAAGGGUUCCUGGGUCAAGCUGAUCUGCCCAGGGUAAGUCGGGACCUAAGGCGAGGCCGACAGGCGUAGUCGAUGGAUAACCGGUUGAUAUUCCGGUACCCGCUGUGAAGCGUCAAACAUUGAAUCCAGUGAUGCUAAGCCCGUGAAGCCGUUCCGGACCCUUCGGGGAAUGGAAAGUGGUGGAGCCGGUGGCCCGAGCUGGUAGUAGGUGAGUGAUGGGGUGACGCAGGAAGGUAGUCCAUCCCGGGCGGUGGUUGUCCCGGGGUAAGGGUGUAGG
This 1719-nucleotide ribosomal RNA is filed under the name Streptomyces sp. SID4915. RNAcentral describes it as "partial 23S ribosomal RNA". It matches the Rfam family "Bacterial large subunit ribosomal RNA", at positions 1 to 1524 of the family's 2925-position model. Lineage: Bacteria; Bacillati; Actinomycetota; Actinomycetes; Kitasatosporales; Streptomycetaceae. The record is from RNAcentral.